This 203-nucleotide long non-coding RNA is filed under the name Lathyrus oleraceus (garden pea). Its description in RNAcentral is "Pisum sativum (pea) long non-coding RNA (PSAT_LNC030711)". The record is from RNAcentral. Lineage: Eukaryota; Viridiplantae; Streptophyta; Magnoliopsida; Fabales; Fabaceae.
GGAAUUUCCCUUGACUUGAGGUAACACUAAAUGGACGUGGAGUAAUAGCUCUCUUUGUUGCAGCAACGUAUAUUGGGUGACCCUCUUUUCUCAACAAGACUUGCAGGGUUUCCAAGACCCAUCUUAUUUGGCUCUUCAAAAGAUUAAGUUCCUCCUUCAGUGCUUAUUGGCUUUUCCUUAGCUCGUCCAUGAUCUAUGUUUUG